GUUUAAUAAUUCACCAUGUAAAAUUAUUUGAUGAACCUCCGUAACAAGAAAAAAAAAUGUUUUUUUAAAUGAAAUAAAUGUUUUUUUUCCCAUCAGGAGCCAUUUUCGACCUGGAUCUGAAUCUGGAUCUGAAUCUGGAUCUGAAUCUGGAUUUGAAUCAGAAUCUGAAUCUGGAUCUGAAUCUGGAUCUGGAUCUGAAUCUGGAUCUGAAUCUGGAUCCAGCUGUGUGUCCUUCAGGAGUGACAAGUCAAAGGACUUUAAUCCUGACUUCAAGUCCAUCAGUCCAGGAGUGAAACAGAGCCAUUUUCGACCUGGAUCUGAAUCUGGAUCUGAAUCUGAAUCUGGAUCUGAAUCUGGAUCUGAAUCUGGAUUUGAAUCAGAAUCUGAAUCUGGAUCUGAAUCUGGAUCUGGAUCUGAAUCUGGAUCUGAAUCUGGAUCCAGCUGUGUGUCCUUCAGGAGUGACAAGUCAAAGGACUUUAAUCCUGACUUCAAGUCCAUCAGUCCAGGAGUGAAACAGUAAGUGUUUGUCAGAGUUAAAGGAGGCUGGAUAAUAGUUCAGAUGAUCAAUAGUUUUCAGAUAAAUGAUUGAGAUCUGGUUCAGUUUUUGAUCUCUCUGAUCAGACUCACUUGGAGCUAAGGCUGGGCAUUGGUUAUAAUUUCCAGAAUCGAUUCGAUUUCA
RNAcentral lists this long non-coding RNA (679 nucleotides) under Oryzias javanicus (javanese ricefish). Its description in RNAcentral is "lncRNA (ENSOJAG00000020883.1)". Lineage: Eukaryota; Metazoa; Chordata; Actinopteri; Beloniformes; Adrianichthyidae. The record is from RNAcentral.